GCUGAUUAUCAGAUAAAUAAGAAACUAUUAAAAGAAGAUUUUAAUUCUAAUAAAAAUAGAAAAAAUAGAGAAUGGUUCCUUAAAGCCCAUGAUAAAGAUAGACAACAUUUUAUCAAAAAAUUUUGGUUCGAUCAAAUGAGGACUGAAGAGAGACAUAUCCCUUUCUUUGACUGGUUCAAUACUUAUUGGAGUGACCCUA
Molecule: long non-coding RNA, 199 nt
Filed under: Elaeis guineensis (African oil palm)
Lineage: Eukaryota; Viridiplantae; Streptophyta; Magnoliopsida; Arecales; Arecaceae
Description: long non-coding RNA (EGUI_LNC068030)
Source: RNAcentral